UACGUAGGGUGCAAGCGUUAAUCGGAAUUACUGGGCGUAAAGCGUGCGCAGGCGGUUAUGUAAGACAGUUGUGAAAUCCCCGGGCUCAACCUGGGGACUGCAUCUGUGACUGCAUAGCUAGAGUACGGUAGAGGGGGAUGGAAUUCCGCGUGUAGCAGUGAAAUGCGUAGAUAUGCGGAGGAACACCGAUGGCGAAGGCAAUCCCCUGGACCUGUACUGACGCUCAUGCACGAAAGCGUGGGGAGCAAACAGG
Molecule: ribosomal RNA, 253 nt
Filed under: uncultured bacterium
Lineage: Bacteria
Description: partial 16S ribosomal RNA
Rfam family: Bacterial small subunit ribosomal RNA
Source: RNAcentral